AAGCGUCCUCAGCGACGG
Molecule: small nuclear RNA, 18 nt
Filed under: Arabidopsis thaliana (thale cress)
Lineage: Eukaryota; Viridiplantae; Streptophyta; Magnoliopsida; Brassicales; Brassicaceae
Description: snRNA_18117
Source: RNAcentral